GUAGAAGUAUGGUGUGCAGCCUUUCAUUGUGUUUAGGCUCCUAAAGUAUUUCUCUUACGUGCAGUUAUUGGCUUUUCAGGGCCAAAUUUAUGGUUAACGGCUACUUGGAA
Molecule: regulatory RNA element, 110 nt
Organism: Arcobacter sp.
Lineage: Bacteria; Pseudomonadati; Campylobacterota; Epsilonproteobacteria; Campylobacterales; Arcobacteraceae
Rfam family: purD RNA motif
Source: Rfam